Molecule: ribosomal RNA, 484 nt
Filed under: uncultured bacterium
Lineage: Bacteria
Description: partial 16S ribosomal RNA
Rfam family: Bacterial small subunit ribosomal RNA
Source: RNAcentral
AUUGAACGCUGGCGGCAGGCCUAACACAUGCAAGUCGAGCGGAUGAAGGGAGCUUGCUCCUGGAUUCAGCGGCGGACGGGUGAGUAAUGCCUAGGAAUCUGCCUGGUAGUGGGGGAUAACGUCCGGAAACGGGCGCUAAUACCGCAUACGUCCUGAGGGAGAAAGUGGGGGAUCUUCGGACCUCCCGCUUUCAGAUGAGCCUAGGUCGGAUUAGCUAGUUGGUGGGGUAAAGGCCUACCAAGGCGACGAUCCGUAACUGGUCUGAGAGGAUGAUCAGUCACACUGGAACUGAGACACGGUCCAGACUCCUACGGGAGGCAGCAGUGGGGAAUAUUGGACAAUGGGCGAAAGCCUGAUCCAGCCAUGCCGCGUGUGUGAAGAAGGUCUUCGGAUUGUAAAGCACUUUAAGUUGGGAGGAAGGGCAGUAAGUUAAUACCUUGCUGUUUUGACGUUACCAACAGAAUAAGCACCGGCUAACUUCGUG